This is a transfer RNA of Tuber melanosporum (Perigord truffle), 89 nucleotides long. It matches the Rfam family "tRNA". Rfam says of the family: Transfer RNA (tRNA) molecules are approximately 80 nucleotides in length. Their secondary structure includes four short double-helical elements and three loops (D, anti-codon, and T loops). The record is from Rfam. NCBI's taxonomy places the organism in Eukaryota, Fungi, Ascomycota, Pezizomycetes, Pezizales, Tuberaceae.
GCCUCUAUGGCCAAGGGGUAAGGCGCAGCACUUGUAUUUCCAUCGGGAUCGCAAUGCUGAGAUCAUGAGUUCAAAUCUCAUUGGAGGCA